Molecule: long non-coding RNA, 511 nt
Organism: Solea solea (common sole)
Lineage: Eukaryota; Metazoa; Chordata; Actinopteri; Pleuronectiformes; Soleidae
Exons: 3
Source: RefSeq, a predicted model, not a curated record
GGGACGACGAGAGGUGGCCGUUUAUGUCCGUGCCCAAGAUCCUUAAACCCGUGGACUGGCUCCAACUCAUUGGUACCUGCAUAGCCUUCCUGAGGAGGAGCACUUGAGUCUGGGGACACCAGGUCUCAUGGAAACGAGAACUGGGAUGGGAGUGCACAUGGUCAGGAACAUCUCUGGCAUUUCAACCCCCUUUGGAAGACGUGAUGCAACGGAGCCGAGACUUUUCUCAGUCCCCAAGAAGAUAAAUCAGUGAAAUCAAAAUGGUUGUUUUCACACUGCUCCAUGGACAUGGUGAAGCUGGCUGGGAACAUGCUGCGAGGGCCUGACAGGAAGAUGCUGCUGGACAAAAGCUACAGCAGUCUGGUAAGAUUUUCCAAUGGUUGUUGCCUUGGCUGCCACACAGUGAGAUCUCCUGUGUAGGAUAAUAAUUAAUACACCCCGAAUGUUAAGUAUUGACUGCUAGUCUGUGAUAUAUUCUCUGUGUGUUUCACUUAACACACGUCAGACUUAA